Molecule: ribosomal RNA, 487 nt
Filed under: uncultured bacterium
Lineage: Bacteria
Description: SSU rRNA
Rfam family: Bacterial small subunit ribosomal RNA
Source: RNAcentral
AGGAUAAACGCUGGCGGCGUGCCUAACACAUGCAAGUCGAACGCCCUUUAGCUUCGCAAGGAGUGGGAGGGAGUGGCGGACGGGUGAGGAACACGUGGGUGACCUACCUUUCAGUGAGGAAUACCGGCGAGAAAUCGCCGACAAGACCGCAUACGCUUCUCUAUUCGCAGAGGGAAGGAAAGCUUCACGAGAGUGAGGCGCUGGAAGAUGGGCCUGCGGCCGAUUAGCUAGCUGGUGGGGUAACGGCCUACCAGGGCGACGAUCGGUAGCUGGUCUGAGAGGACGAUCAGCCACACUGGGAUUGAGAACGGCCCAGACUCCUACGGGGGGCAGCAGUGAGGAAUUUUCGGCAAUGGGGGCAACCCUGACCGAGCAACGCCGCGUGCAGGAGGAAGGUCUUCGGAUCGUAAACUGCUUUUCUGUGGGAAGAGAACGGACGGUACCACAGGAAGAAGCCCCGGCUAACUACGUGCCCAGCAGCCGCGGU